AUUGAACGCUGGCGGCAUGCGUAACACAUGCAAGUCGAACGGUGUAUAGUGCUUGCACUAUACAGAGUGGCGGACGGGUGAGUAAUGCGUAGGAAUCUGUUUUAGAGAGGGGGAUAACUGAGGGAAACCUUGGCUAAUACCGCAUAGACUCGGGAGAGGAAAGCAGGGGACUGUAAGAGGCCUUGCGCUUUAGAGUGAGCCUACGUCAGAUUAGCUAGUGGUAGGGUAAAGGCCUACCAAGGCGAUGAUCUGUAGCUGGUCUGAGAGGACGGACAGCCACACUGGGACUGAGACACGGCCCAGACUCCUACGGGAGGCAGCAGUGGGGAAUAUUGGACAAAUGGGGGC
RNAcentral lists this ribosomal RNA (348 nucleotides) under uncultured bacterium. Its description in RNAcentral is "bacterial SSU rRNA". It matches the Rfam family "Bacterial small subunit ribosomal RNA", at positions 30 to 379 of the family's 1533-position model. The record is from RNAcentral.